CGCAAGACCUCCUCCUAUGGGCGGAACACACAGGCCCAGGGUAUAGGGGGUAUACUACCCCUUCUGAUCUCAGGAUGAGAUUUCUGGGGUUUGGACACCCCUUGACCCCACUCUUGCUCCGGGUCUGCUCCCCAUGGCUCCACCGCUCCCCAGCUCCAGAGUGAAGCCCUCUGCCACAGCCUGACUCAGCUCUCAAGCUCUCUCAUUUACCGAUAACUCUGGGGCCUAAAAGAAAGUAUUGGGGAAUUCUAGCUCAGGCAGGCUGUCUGGACGAAGCAAGUGGCAUUAAAUUUUAGGACUAUGAUGAACAAAGGUACUCUAGUUAGGAAGCAGGCAGAAAGUAUACCCUAUCGGAGGGGCUGAAAAAUGACCUGAGUGACUGAGACAAGAUACACAGGGGGAAAGAUGGGACAAGAUGAACCUGUUUUAAGAGAAAGCUAAGGGAACAAUCCAGUUGCUGGUGGGAAAAGAAGAUGCAGAAAAUAAGGUGGGCAAGCAUAUGGCGAGAGGAAACAGCCGAGGGCAGGAUGCACUGUAGUUCAGAAGGAGCCUGGACGUGUCCGUGUUCUCUGUCACACUGUAUUACACACAGCGUUUCAUUCCCAUGUUUCUCCUUCUCCUGUGAAAGCGUCUGCCCUUCAAGAUUAUUGAACAAAUCACAUUAAACAGCAUCAUACAAAUCCCA
This is a long non-coding RNA of Mastomys coucha (southern multimammate mouse), 685 nucleotides long. RefSeq lists it as uncharacterized. NCBI's taxonomy places the organism in Eukaryota, Metazoa, Chordata, Mammalia, Rodentia, Muridae. The transcript has 2 exons. The record is from RefSeq and is a predicted model, not a curated record.